GCCGGGGUGGUGGAAUUGGUAGACACGCUAGCUUGAGGGGCUAGUGGGCGCAAGCCUGUGUGAGUUCAAGUCUCGUCCCCGGCA
This 84-nucleotide transfer RNA is filed under the name Nitrospirota bacterium. RNAcentral describes it as "Nitrospirae bacterium (hot springs metagenome) tRNA-Leu". It matches the Rfam family "tRNA". From Rfam's summary of the family: Transfer RNA (tRNA) molecules are approximately 80 nucleotides in length. Lineage: Bacteria; Pseudomonadati; Nitrospirota. The record is from RNAcentral.